CUCCUUUUUAAAGAUUUUGGUGGUCCUUAAAAGGACCGUUAAUUUUGUCUGUAUCUUUUUCAGCAGUAGAUGAAUGCAGCUAUAUCUUCCUUGAUUUUGGUACUUUUGAAGAACAACUUCUGGUUGGUUAACUUGUUUGGACCCAAGUACAUGGAUCUCCUAUGAGCCACCAACAGUUUGAGUGUCCACCACCACACACGUAUGAACUAGUGGGACAUUUAGAGCAGUCACAAGUAUAACAACGCACAGUAGCAUUAAGCAUUCAGGCAGAUCCAGGAUUUCCCCCGACAUUUGUUAAACUGUAGGAGGUGCCGUCUUGACUGGUUUUAGCUACAAGUGAGAACUUCUCUGCAUCUAGCCUUUUCCAUUGUAUAUUAAAUGAACUUAGCUGACUGUUUGAAGACUAAGUCUCAUGAUUUAUACCCUUGUUAUGGGGUAUGCUUCUUUGCAUAUGUAAUUCUUAUAAGAUUUUUUUUUUAAUUAAAAAAAUAAUUAUAAUUAUUUUUUUUUCAGCAGAAUUUUUUUUUUAACUAGAUUUCCAUAUCAAAAAUGAAUUCAUCUACCAUGUGCAAUUUACAGAAUGUAAAUAUCUUUUAAAAUAAAAAAGUUUUGCUGAU
Long non-coding RNA from Mytilus californianus (California mussel), 617 nucleotides. RefSeq lists it as uncharacterized. The record is from RefSeq and is a predicted model, not a curated record. NCBI's taxonomy places the organism in Eukaryota, Metazoa, Mollusca, Bivalvia, Mytilida, Mytilidae. The transcript has 2 exons.